RNAcentral lists this ribosomal RNA (253 nucleotides) under uncultured bacterium. RNAcentral's name for it is "partial 16S ribosomal RNA". It matches the Rfam family "Bacterial small subunit ribosomal RNA", at positions 524 to 776 of the family's 1533-position model. The record is from RNAcentral.
UACGGGGGGGGCAAGCGUUGUUCGGAAUUACUGGGCGUAAAGGGCUUGUAGGUGGCCAACUAAGUCAGACGUGAAAUCCCUCGGCUUAACCGGGGAACUGCGUCUGAGACUGGAUGGCUUGAGUGUGGGAGAGGGAUGCGGAAUUCCAGGUGUAGCGGUGAAAUGCGUAGAUAUCAGGAGGAAUACCGGUGGCGAAAGCGACUCUCUGGACGGCAACUGACGCUGAGGCACGAAAGCGUGGGGAGCAAACAGG